This 18-nucleotide ribosomal RNA is filed under the name Saprolegnia sp. BBE20. RNAcentral's name for it is "partial 28S ribosomal RNA". Lineage: Eukaryota; Oomycota; Saprolegniomycetes; Saprolegniales; Saprolegniaceae. The record is from RNAcentral.
UUGGACCUGAUAUCAAGC